Molecule: long non-coding RNA, 250 nt
Filed under: Carica papaya (papaya)
Lineage: Eukaryota; Viridiplantae; Streptophyta; Magnoliopsida; Brassicales; Caricaceae
Description: long non-coding RNA (CPAP_LNC010732)
Source: RNAcentral
AAACAUCAUGUCAUAGUGAUAACAAUUAAAAUCAAACAUCAUACUUGACAAUAAAGAAAAUCAAAUAAAUCAUAAAAUGCUCAGAUUUUCAUGUCAUUCUUCGCAAAGUCGUUCCGACUUCCAUUUCUGAGGGUAGAUAUGAAUUUUCGACUACCCAUAUAGAAUGAUAAGAUUAGAUACAGAUAACGACAAUUUGCUUAAGCACAUUUCUGGGUUUUCAAACCAUGGUACUAUCUAUGACUACGGCCGU